AGCGAACGCUGGCGGCAGGCCUAACACAUGCAAGUCGAACGAACCUUUCGGGGUUAGUGGCGGACGGGUGAGUAACACGUGGGAACGUGCCUUUAGGUUCGGAAUAACUCAGGGAAACUUGUGCUAAUACCGAGUGUGCCCUUCGGGGGAAAGAUUUAUCGCCUUUAGAGCGGCCCGCGUCUGAUUAGCUAGUUGGUUGAGGUAAUGGCUCACCAAGGCGACGAUCAGUAGCUGGUCUGAGAGGAUGAUCAGCCACAUUGGGACUGAGACACGGCCCAAACUCCUACGGGAGGCAGCAGUGGGGAAUCUUGCGCAAUGGGCGAAAGCCUGACGCAGCCAUGCCGCGUGAAUGAUGAAGGUCUUAGGAUUGUAAAAUUCUUUCACCGGGGACGAUAAUGACGGUACCCGGAGAAGAAGCCCCGGCUAACUUCGUG
Molecule: ribosomal RNA, 434 nt
Filed under: uncultured bacterium
Lineage: Bacteria
Description: partial 16S ribosomal RNA
Rfam family: Bacterial small subunit ribosomal RNA
Source: RNAcentral